UGAACCAUGUCGUCUUUAUCUCCUGUCCUCCAACUAGCCUAUAUAAUCUGAAGAGAAAAGAAACACUGUAAAACAAGGAAAUUACAGUUUAGAAGAAGGUUUAAAGGAAAAGUGUUGCAAUAUAUAUAUAUAUAUAUAUAUAUAUAUAUAUAUAUAUAUAUAUAUAUAUAUAUAUAUAUAUAUAUAUAUAUCAGAGAAAUGCAAGCGAGUCCGAUGUUGUCCCUGCAGUCUUCGAGUUUCACUCUUUAUAAUUCCAACACAAAUCUCACCGAAAUUGCUGCUAGAGUUUCAAAGAAUUCAACGCUGAAGAUGAAACAGAUUCCGAAUUUUUCUUCAGUGAUAAUAAUGAGACAUUCAGCUGUGCAGUACAGAUUUUGAAUGAGAAAGCUGAACUGGAAAAACAACAAAACGAAGAGAACGGUGAUGAUGAUUUUGAGUUUGCUUUUAUUAAUACAGAAUCUGAAUUUUCACCUAUUUCUGCUGAUGAAAUCUUCUACAACGGUCAGAUCCGUCCAAUUUUCAACACAGAUUUAUGCUCACGCGAUGUUCAAUUCAAGGUUUGGGCUCCGACGGCGUCAAUUCGACUUCCGUUAAGGAAGCUUUUCAUCGCGGAGCGUGAAACUACGCCGUCUUGUUCGUCGUCGGAAGCCGACGACUUAGAAAGCAUUCCUCCGGGAACUUACUGCGUGUGGAGGCCGAGAGCGGCGGAAGAUACUCUAACUGAACAAUGUAAGAAGAGCAAAUCCACCGGCUCCUCCUCUAAGCGGUGGAAGUUAAGAGACUUUCUUCACCGGAGUAACAGCGACGGUAAAGAUACUUUCGUGUUUUUGACGACUGCGUUUAAUAAGAAGAGAGGAGAAAGCAGAGAGUACGACGGCGGUUGACUCUGCUAAAAUCGCAGGAAAAGUUGCCGGGAUUCCCGUCGGUAAUGGUUUUCCGGCAGUGCGUUGCCCGAAGAUCGGAGGUGAUAUUAAACGGAAGUCGUACUUGCCGUACAGGCAAGAUUUGGUAGGGUUUUGUGGUAAGGUGAAUGGGUAGAAUCGGAGUUCACC
RNAcentral lists this long non-coding RNA (1052 nucleotides) under Nicotiana tabacum (common tobacco). RNAcentral describes it as "long non-coding RNA (NTAB_LNC010982)". The record is from RNAcentral. Lineage: Eukaryota; Viridiplantae; Streptophyta; Magnoliopsida; Solanales; Solanaceae.